RNAcentral lists this ribosomal RNA (253 nucleotides) under uncultured bacterium. Its description in RNAcentral is "partial 16S ribosomal RNA". It matches the Rfam family "Bacterial small subunit ribosomal RNA", at positions 524 to 776 of the family's 1533-position model. The record is from RNAcentral.
UACGUAGGGAGCAAGCGUUGUCCGGAAUCAUUGGGCGUAAAGCGCGUGUAGGCGGCUCGGUAAGUCCGCUCUGAAAGUCCAGGGCUCAACCCUGGGAUGCGGGUGGAUACUGCCGGGCUCGAGUCCGGAAGAGGCGAGUGGAAUUCCCGGUGUAGCGGUGAAAUGCGCAGAUAUCGGGAGGAACACCAAUGGCGAAGGCAGCUCGCUGGGACGUGACUGACGCUGAGACGCGAAAGCGUGGGGAGCAAACAGG